Long non-coding RNA from Venturia canescens, 241 nucleotides. RefSeq lists it as uncharacterized. NCBI's taxonomy places the organism in Eukaryota, Metazoa, Arthropoda, Insecta, Hymenoptera, Ichneumonidae. The transcript is spliced from 2 exons. The record is from RefSeq and is a predicted model, not a curated record.
GACGAUUCGUCGAUGUUGUAUAACGUAUCGGUGAACAGUAGGAUGAAAAGUGGUCAGCUGACCGCAAGGCGAACUCGAGAGAAGAGGAAAAAAACACGGACGCACACAAGCCCGCAGGAGCGACGCCUUUCAAGGGUACCUCGAUGACUCUUGGCCUAUCGAUGAUCCUCGCUGUUCUCUGUCCCUCCUCGACGAGGCCAAUGAUCCAGGUCUGCCUGCGCUCAAUUCUGUCGUAAAUUUU